This 495-nucleotide ribosomal RNA is filed under the name uncultured bacterium. Its description in RNAcentral is "partial 16S ribosomal RNA". It matches the Rfam family "Bacterial small subunit ribosomal RNA", at positions 28 to 506 of the family's 1533-position model. The record is from RNAcentral.
GAUGAACGCUGGCGGCGUGCCUAAUACAUGCAAGUAGAACGCUGAAGGAGGAGCUUGCUCUUUCCGGAUGAGUUGCGAACGGGUGAGUAACGCGUAGGUAACCUGCCUGGUAGCGGGGGAUAACUAUUGGAAACGAUAGCUAAUACCGCAUAACAGUAGAUAUUGCAUGAUAUUUGCUUGAAAGGGGCAAUUGCUCCACUACCAGAUGGACCUGCGUUGUAUUAGCUAGUUGGUGAGGUAACGGCUCACCAAGGCGACGAUACAUAGCCGACCUGAGAGGGUGAUCGGCCACACUGGGACUGAGACACGGCCCAGACUCCUACGGGAGGCAGCAGUAGGGAAUCUUCGGCAAUGGACGGAAGUCUGACCGAGCAACGCCGCGUGAGUGAAGAAGGUUUUCGGAUCGUAAAGCUCUGUUGUAAGAGAAGAACGAGUGUGAGAGUGGAAAGUUCACACUGUGACGGUAUCUUACCAGAAAAGGACGGCUAACUACGU